UACGUAGGGUGCAAGCGUUAAUCGGAAUUACUGGGCGUAAAGCGUGCGCAGGCGGUUUUGUAAGUCUGACGUGAAAGCCCCGGGCUCAACCUGGGAAUUGCGAUGGAGACUGCAAGGCUUGAAUCUGGCAGAGGGGGGUAGAAUUCCACGUGUAGCAGUGAAAUGCGUAGAGAUGUAGAGGAACACCGAUGGCGAAGGCAGCCCCCUGGGUCAAGAUUGACGCUCAUGCACGAAAGCGUGGGGAGCAAACAGG
This 253-nucleotide ribosomal RNA is filed under the name uncultured bacterium. RNAcentral's name for it is "partial 16S ribosomal RNA". It matches the Rfam family "Bacterial small subunit ribosomal RNA", at positions 524 to 776 of the family's 1533-position model. The record is from RNAcentral.